This 82-nucleotide non-coding RNA is filed under the name human gut metagenome. RNAcentral's name for it is "TPP riboswitch (THI element)". It matches the Rfam family "TPP riboswitch aptamer (THI element)", at positions 6 to 93 of the family's 105-position model. Rfam says of the family: Vitamin B(1) in its active form thiamin pyrophosphate (TPP) is an essential coenzyme that is synthesised by coupling of pyrimidine and thiazole moieties in bacteria. The record is from RNAcentral.
AUUUGCAGGGGUGUCCCACAUGAAUGGGGCUGAGAUUAUACCCGAGAACCUGAUCCGGAUAAUGCCGGCGUAGGAACGCAGA